AGCAGCCGCGGUAAUUCCAGCUCCAAUAGCGUAUAUUAAAGUUGCUGCAGUUAAAAAGCUCGUAGUUGAAUUUCGGGGUUAGUAGAUUGGUCAUGCCUCUGGUAUGCACUGGUCUUACUGAUUCCUCCUUCCUGAUGAACCGUAAUGCCAUUAAUUUGGUGUUGCGGGGAAACUGGACUGUUACUUUGAAAAAUUAGAGUGUUUAAAGCAGGCUAACGCUUGAAUACAUUAGCAUGGAAUAAUGAAAUAGGACGUUCGAUCUUAUUUUGUUGGUUUCUAGGAUUGACGUAAUGAUUAAUAGGGAUAGUUGGGGGCAUUAGUAUUCAAUUGUCAGAGGUGAAAUUCUUGGAUUUAUUGAAGACUAACUACUGCGAAAGCAUUUGCCAAGGAUGUUUUCAUUAAUCAAGAACGAAAGUUAGGGGAUCGAAGACGAUACAGAUACCGUCGUAGUCUUAACCAUAAACUAUGCCGACUAGGGAUCGGAUGAUGUUAAUUUUUAAUGUACUCAUUCGGCGUACCC
This 520-nucleotide ribosomal RNA is filed under the name uncultured Glomeromycotina. Its description in RNAcentral is "SSU rRNA". It matches the Rfam family "Eukaryotic small subunit ribosomal RNA", at positions 569 to 1088 of the family's 1831-position model. The record is from RNAcentral. Lineage: Eukaryota; Fungi; Glomeromycota.